RNAcentral lists this ribosomal RNA (257 nucleotides) under uncultured bacterium. RNAcentral describes it as "partial 16S ribosomal RNA". It matches the Rfam family "Bacterial small subunit ribosomal RNA", at positions 524 to 776 of the family's 1533-position model. The record is from RNAcentral.
UACAGAGACCUCAAGCGUUAUCCGGAAUCAUUGGGCGUAAAGCGUACCGAUAGGUGGUUUACAAAGUCAGAAGUGAAAUCUUCAGGCUCAACCUGGAGAAUGUCUUUUGAAACUUGUAAACUAGAGGGGCAAAGAGGAAGCUGGAACGAACGGUGUAGUAGUGAAAUGCGUUGAUAUCGUUCGGAACACCAAUAGCGUAGGCAGGCUUCUGGGUGCCACCUGACACUGCUAGGACGAGAGCGUGGGGAGCGAUAAGG